GCCAGGCUCAGUGGCACACGCCUGUAAUCCCAACAGCUUGGGAGGCUGAGGCAGGAGGAUCACAAGUUCAAAGCCAGCCUCAGCAAAAGCAAGUUACUAAGUAACUCAGUGAGACCCUGUCUCUA
This 125-nucleotide small RNA is filed under the name Marmota monax (woodchuck). Lineage: Eukaryota; Metazoa; Chordata; Mammalia; Rodentia; Sciuridae. The record is from RNAcentral.